RNAcentral lists this ribosomal RNA (330 nucleotides) under uncultured bacterium. RNAcentral's name for it is "bacterial SSU rRNA". It matches the Rfam family "Bacterial small subunit ribosomal RNA", at positions 18 to 344 of the family's 1533-position model. The record is from RNAcentral.
CAUGGCUCAGAUUGAACGCUGGCGGCAUGCUUUACACAUGCAAGUCGGACGGCAGCACAGAGAAGCUUGCUUCUUGGGUGGCGAGUGGCGAACGGGUGAGUAAUGUAUUGGAACGUACCGAGUAAUGGGGGAUAACUAAUCGAAAGAUUAGCUAAUACCGCAUACGUCCUGAGGGAGAAAGCGGGGGAUCUUCGGACCUCGCGUUAUUCGAGCGGCCAAUAUCUGAUUAGCUAGUUGGUGGGGUAAAGGCCUACCAAGGCGACGAUCUGUAGCUGGUCUGAGAGGACGACCAGCCACACUGGGACUGAGACACGGCCCAGACUCCUACGG